UCUACAUGACAAAGAACUUGUUUCCUCCUCCUCCCUUCUUUUUCUUGUCUCCUUAAAGCAGGUGAAGAUGCAGAAAACCAGUGAGGACAUUCCUGACAAACAAAGUCAGAGUGCAGUGAAGUAAAAGCAACAGUCAUGAGAAAAUCCUCUGCUAUUCAGAGAGUCAAGUCAGUGGACACUUCUGUGUUCCCAUCCCAUCCAGGGCACCACAGACGGGUUCCCAAGAGCCCAGACUUAUUUCUAGGCAGCAGCAUGCCAGCAAGAUAACGGUCAAUCAAACGGACAUCGCCC
RNAcentral lists this long non-coding RNA (291 nucleotides) under Fukomys damarensis (Damara mole-rat). RNAcentral describes it as "lncRNA (ENSFDAG00000026833.1)". Lineage: Eukaryota; Metazoa; Chordata; Mammalia; Rodentia; Bathyergidae. The record is from RNAcentral.